This 384-nucleotide ribosomal RNA is filed under the name uncultured bacterium. Its description in RNAcentral is "bacterial SSU rRNA". It matches the Rfam family "Bacterial small subunit ribosomal RNA", at positions 28 to 414 of the family's 1533-position model. The record is from RNAcentral.
GACGAACGCUGGCGGCGUGCUUAACACAUGCAAGUCGAACGGUAAGGCCCUUCGGGGUACACGAGUGGCGAACGGGUGGAGUAACACGUGGGUGAUCUGCCCUGCACUUCGGGAUAAGCCUGGGAAACUGGGUCUAAUACCGGAUAGGACUCCUGGCUUCAUGGUUGGGGUGUAAAGCUUUUGCGGUGUGGGAUGGGGCCCGCGGCCUAUCAGCUUGUUGGUGGGGUAAUGGCCUACCAAGGCGACGACGGGUAGCCGGCCUGAGAGGGUGACCGGCCACACUGGGACUGAGAUACGGCCCAGACUCCUACGGGAGGCAGCAGUGGGGAAUAUUGCACAAAUGGGCGCAAGCCUGAUGCAGCGACGCCGCGUGAGGGAUGACGG